This 745-nucleotide long non-coding RNA is filed under the name Homo sapiens (human). RNAcentral's name for it is "LAMTOR5 and SLC16A4 antisense RNA 1". Lineage: Eukaryota; Metazoa; Chordata; Mammalia; Primates; Hominidae. The record is from RNAcentral.
GGGCUCCCCGCGCGGUGACCGUCGAGGUGACCUGCACCUGGCUCCAUGGCGGAACCGGCCGGCACGGAUUAUUCCCCUCUCGGGAGAGGUCUGCAGCCGGGCCUCAGUGCUUCAGUUCGUGGCCUGGCAUUUUGUGAAGAGUGUCUUCAUCUCUGCAUCCCUAGUGCAACAGAGCAUGACAAAAAUUCAACAAAUAUUUAUUGAAGAGUCUUGAUGUCUUUUGGGAAAGGAACUCUAUGGUUACCUUUACUCUAAGGCAUUGUGAAGACCCUGUUUCUCUAGCUGUGCAGCUGCAAGGUCACUAGGCAGAUAAACUCAAGCCAUAAAACAUGUUUUUCCUUGAAAAAUUAGAUGGGUGUUACUGAUUCUUACCUCAGAGAAGAGAAUGUCAUGGAGACAAAAUGACCUGCUUAGAGUUCUGCACCCCCCAGCAUGGAGAGCAGAGCGCAAAGAUUUCUUCCGGACUCCCACAUUCCCCUUGGAAUCCAAGAACUGGUCUACUGUCACAACACUUUAGUACCCUCUUAGAUGGGGAUCUCACUCUGUUGCCCAGGCUGGUCUCAAACUCCUGGCUUCAAGCAAUCCUCCUGCUUCGGCCUCCCAAACUUCUGGGAUUACAGAUAUGAGCCACCACGGCUGGCUGACAGGCACCAAAUUCUAGGAGAGGACUUGAAUAGACUCCCAAGGAGGCAGCAGAAACUGGGGUAAUCACAACGGUCAACAGCAGCAAAGGCAGCACUUUCUG